AUUGAACGCUGGCGGCAUGCCUUACACAUGCAAGUCGAACGGCAGCACGGGGGCGAACCCUCGGUGGCGAGUGGCGAACGGGUGAGUAAUACAUCGGAACGUGCCCCGUACGCGGGGACGAACCAGUCGAAGACUGGCUAAUACCGCAUACGCUCCACGGAGGAAAGACAGGGGAGUCGCAAGACCUUGCACUAUGGGAGCGGCCGAUGCCCGA
Molecule: ribosomal RNA, 214 nt
Filed under: uncultured bacterium
Lineage: Bacteria
Description: partial 16S ribosomal RNA
Rfam family: Bacterial small subunit ribosomal RNA
Source: RNAcentral